AACGAAUUUGAUUUUUGGGUUACGCGGUUGCUAAACAAACUGUAAAAUUGCCGGUGUCGACAAGAAUAAGGUUCAAUCACCGAAAAUGGGGUGAAAGAAUACGGGUCCGAAUCCCGAUGAACCAUUUUAGAUGCACCUCGGGAUGUGAAUCACGAGGGAAGGGCUGAGAGUCAAACCAAUGACUUUUCGAGGCCGUGUAAAGGUUUGCACACAGGACGUUAAAUGGGUUUAGCGGAGCAU
Molecule: unclassified non-coding RNA, 240 nt
Filed under: uncultured archaeon
Lineage: Archaea
Description: 16S-23S ribosomal RNA intergenic spacer
Source: RNAcentral